CCUACGGGGGGCAGCAGUAGGGAAUCUUCCACAAUGGGCGAAAGCCUGAUGGAGCAACGCCGCGUGGGUGAAGAAGGUCUUCGGAUCGUAAAACCCUGUUGUUAGAGAAGAAAGUGCGUGAGAGUAACUGUUCACGUUUCGACGGUAUCUAACCAGAACGCCACGGCUAACUACGUGCCAGCAGCCGCGGUAAUACGUAGGUGGCAAGCGUUAUCCGGAUUUAUUGGGCGUAAAGGGAACGAAGGCGGUCUUUUAAGUCUGAUGUGAAAGGCUUCGGCUUAACCGGAGUAGUGCAUUGGAAACUGGGAGACUUGAGUGCAGAAGAGGAGAGUGGAACUCCAUGUGUAGCGGUGAAAUGCGUAGAUAUAUGGAAGAACACCAGUGGCGAAAGCGGCUCUCUGGUCUGUAACUGACGCUGAGGUUCGAAAGCGUGGGUAGCAAACAGGAUUAGAUACCCGAGUAGUC
RNAcentral lists this ribosomal RNA (465 nucleotides) under uncultured bacterium. RNAcentral's name for it is "partial 16S ribosomal RNA". It matches the Rfam family "Bacterial small subunit ribosomal RNA", at positions 338 to 795 of the family's 1533-position model. The record is from RNAcentral.